Molecule: unclassified non-coding RNA, 258 nt
Filed under: Hevea brasiliensis (rubber tree)
Lineage: Eukaryota; Viridiplantae; Streptophyta; Magnoliopsida; Malpighiales; Euphorbiaceae
Source: RNAcentral
AUUCUGACUUCCUAAUGAAACCUGCUUCAUCACACUCUGGACACCUUUGAUGAGCAAUUCAACAUAAACAAUUCGGUUUAUAAUCAAAGGAACAGAGCGAAGAAGAACAAGAGCCAAUUUAAACAAAACGUGUUCUACUUUUGAUAAGUACUCACAAAUAGCACCCAAGUUCAUCCAUCCAACAACGUAGACUUUGCAUUCACUCAACACAAUAUCAACCAAUGUGAUAAAGCAAAGAAACAAGGAAGAAAAUACAAG